This is a long non-coding RNA of Rattus norvegicus (Norway rat), 671 nucleotides long. Ensembl lists it as uncharacterized. Lineage: Eukaryota; Metazoa; Chordata; Mammalia; Rodentia; Muridae. The record is from Ensembl.
UGCAGGCCGGGCUCCCUCCUCCCCUGGCGGGUGGCGGGGGAGGGGAGGGGGCUUGAGGCCAGAGGGAAAGGUGGUACCAAUCCUCCAGUUCCAGAGCUACAAAGCUGAUCCAGGCCUCGUUGGGGGACGCCUAAACGCCCUUCUAAAGACCUGGGGUGUCAUCACCACACCACCCCCGGGCACACGGAGCCUGGCUCGGUGUAUCGCAUUCCCCUUCCUCCCCCGGAGCAUCUGGCGGAGCUGGGGGAAAGGCAAGAGAAAGCCAUCAAGGAGGAUGCUGUAGCUGCUGCUGCCUGAAGUCUUUGGCUCCUGUAGUUCAUGAGGCCUCCCUCAAUAGGCCUCCGGAUUAGGUUACCCGGGCCGGGCGAUGACUUUUACUGGAUACGAGAAUAGCACAGGUAAAGCUGUAUAAACAGUUCCCGGCUGCGAAGCAGGAGGGUUAUGCCGGGGACACAGUCCCAAGGCGCCACCAACCAGCCUGGCUUGAGCACACGAAAACGGCUGGGGAGACCGCUUUGCCACAGCGACCCGGACCUCACAGAACAAAGCACACGCGACGGAGGUGGUGACGGAGGAACCCAAGCCUAGGGUGGGAAGAGAAAGAACUAAUCCAGAAAGAAGAAGGUGUGCGCUUUCUAGCUACGCCUGGAGGAGCCUAGGAAAGAGCCAGA